RNAcentral lists this ribosomal RNA (301 nucleotides) under uncultured bacterium. RNAcentral's name for it is "partial 16S ribosomal RNA". It matches the Rfam family "Bacterial small subunit ribosomal RNA", at positions 509 to 809 of the family's 1533-position model. The record is from RNAcentral.
CAGCCGCCGCGGGAAUACGGAGGGUGCAAGCGUUAAUCGGAUUUACUGGGCGUAAAGCGUGCGUAGGCGGCUUCUUAAGUCGGAUGUGAAAUCCCUGAGCUUAACUUAGGAAUUGCAUUCGAUACUGGGAAGCUAGAGUAUGGGAGAGGAUGGUAGAAUUCCAGGUGUAGCGGUGAAAUGCGUAGAGAUCUGGAGGAAUACCGAUGGCGAAGGCAGCCAUCUGGCCUAAUACUGACGCUGAGGUACGAAAGCAUGGGGAGCAAACAGGAUUAGAUACCCCCGUAGUCCCUGUCUCUUAUAA